RNAcentral lists this ribosomal RNA (248 nucleotides) under uncultured Coprococcus sp. Its description in RNAcentral is "partial 16S ribosomal RNA". It matches the Rfam family "Bacterial small subunit ribosomal RNA", at positions 524 to 771 of the family's 1533-position model. Lineage: Bacteria; Bacillati; Bacillota; Clostridia; Lachnospirales; Lachnospiraceae. The record is from RNAcentral.
UACGUAUGGUGCAAGCGUUAUCCGGAUUUACUGGGUGUAAAGGGUGCGUAGGUGGUUAGACAAGUCUGAAGUGAAAAUCCGGGGCUCAACCCCGGAACUGCUUUGGAAACUGCCAAACUAGAGUACAGGAGAGGUAAGUGGAAUUCCUAGUGUAGCGGUGAAAUGCGUAGAUAUUAGGAGGAACACCAGUGGCGAAGGCGACUUACUGGACUGACACUGACACUGAGGCACGAAAGCGUGGGGAGCAA